RNAcentral lists this ribosomal RNA (581 nucleotides) under uncultured archaeon. Its description in RNAcentral is "bacterial SSU rRNA". It matches the Rfam family "Archaeal small subunit ribosomal RNA", at positions 261 to 846 of the family's 1478-position model. The record is from RNAcentral.
UUAUCGGUACGGGUUGUGGGAGCAAGAUCCCGGAGAUGGAUUCUGAGACAUGAAUCCAGGCCCUACGGGGCGCAGCAGGCGCGCAAACUUUACAAUGCGAGCAAUCGUGAUAAGGAAACCCUGAGUGUCUGUCGAUGCAGGCUGUUCAUAUAUCUAAACCGUAUGUGAAGAAAGGGCAGGGCAAGACCGGUGCCAGCCGCCGCGGUAAUACCGGCUGCUCGAGUGAUGGCCACUAUUAUUGGGUUUAAAGCGUCCGUAGCUUGAUUUUUAGGUCUCUUGGGAAAUCUUUUGGCUUAACCACAAGGCGUCUAAGAGAUACUGGGAAUCUUGGAACCGGGAGAGGUAAGCCGUACUUCGGGGGUAGGAGUGAAAUCUUGUAAUCCUCGAGGGACGACCUAUGGCGAAGGCAGCUUACCAGAACAGCUUUGACAGUGAGGGACGAAAGCUGGGGGAGCAAACGGGAUUAGAUACCCCGGUAGUCCCAGCCGUAAACAAUGUGCGUUAGGUGUGUCAGUUACCACGCGUAACUGAUGCGCCGAAGAGAAAUCGUGAAACGCACCACCUGGGAAGUACGGUCGCAA